This 258-nucleotide ribosomal RNA is filed under the name uncultured bacterium. RNAcentral describes it as "partial 16S ribosomal RNA". It matches the Rfam family "Bacterial small subunit ribosomal RNA", at positions 15 to 263 of the family's 1533-position model. The record is from RNAcentral.
GAUCCUGGUUCAGGAUGAACGCUAGCUACAGGCUUAACACAUGCAAGUCGAGGGGCAGCAUUUUAGUUUGCUUGCAAACUAAAGAUGGCGACCGGCGCACGGGUGAGUAACACGUAUCCAACCUGCCGAUAACUCGGGGAUAGCCUUUCGAAAGAAAGAUUAAUAUCCGAUGGUAUAUUUUCUCCGCAUGGUGAGAAUAUUAAAGAAUUUCGGUUAUCGAUGGGGAUGCGUUCCAUUAGUUUGUUGGCGGGGUAACGG